UGAGGUUUUUCUUUGCAAACACUGCAGAAUGAGCUGGAUGGAGGGGAGGAUGCUGCCCUAGCCAUGGAUUAUUUUGCAGCUUCCUAAAGGCUUUCAAAGAACACUAUUGCUGCCAGCCCCAGCCCCUGCAGCCCUGCCUGGGAGUCCUGAUGCCUGUCCAUGAAGAUCUGCUCAUUCAUCUGCUGCCUCUUGAGGAGCCUGACCUCAGGUCUUGGAGGAUGCUCUCCUGGGGAAAAGAAGCAGCAGUCCUUUAUGAAUUGUUCUGCCUCCAGUGAACAAACUAUAAGCUGCAUACUCUCAGGGAAGCAGAGCAGCUCCCUGUGCACCCAUACCACACCUCAGAGGACACCAGGAGCUGAGCCUGUGCUGAGCCCACCACCACAAGACUGAUGCCGUGUGCACUCAUGUCCCCAGCGAGCUGGCUGAAGCGCUCUGAGGAGGAGAAAGCUUUCAGAGAGCUAUCUAAAGAUUUUGUCUUCUUCCACUGUCUCUCAUCUGGAAACAUUAAGCUACACAGAAUAGAAAAGAGGCAAAGAGUGAUUGAUUUAUGUAUUUGGCUCAUUUAUGGUAUAGGAUUCCCUGGGCAGUUGCCCAAGAUUUUUUAGGGAUGCUUUCCAUAGGGUGCAAAAGCUCUUGAUCCCCAGAUAUAAGGAAUCAGGAAAGGAAGGCAAGAGACCUGCUGGGUUGGGAUUAAAGGGCAGGAUGGAAAUGCACAGGCAAAGGAAGCAGGGACAGGUGACCUGGGAAGAGUCCAGAGACACAGUCCAUUUGUGUAGAGAUGGAGCCAGGAAGGCCAGGGCAUGGAUGGAGCUGAACCUGGCAAGGCAUGCAAGGAAUGACAGGGAAGGAUUCCACAGGUGUCUUUCAGAAAAAAGAGAGUGUCAAAAAGAGCAACUUCCCACCUCUCCCAAAAUGAACAACACAGGUAACAAGAUAUGAGGAGAAGAAUGAGGUACUCAAAUAUAUUUUGCUCAGUCAAAUAUGUUUUUCUCAAGCCACCUCUCUUCCUGGGGUGGAAGGCAGGGGCAGAUCAGGGGAAGGGAGAGAUGUGUCCCAGACUGGGAAUUGAGAUGCCAGGAAUCUCAACAUCCAGAAAAUAACUGCUGUAGGGCUUGAGUGGCUUUUGCUUUUUCAUAGAGACAGAGGGUAGAGGCCUGGGCAGGAGAGAUGGAAUCACUGAUCCAGGAUGUGGAAAGCUUUUAGCAGCUGUGACCAUCCUUGAAUAAACUGUGCCAUGUGCAUUCAUUUCUCCUAAAAACCCUCCUCUUAGAAGAGGAUGCUUUCUCCUAGGAAAGACCUUUCCUGGGGAACAAGCACCAGUGAGUGUU
Molecule: long non-coding RNA, 1328 nt
Organism: Zonotrichia albicollis (white-throated sparrow)
Lineage: Eukaryota; Metazoa; Chordata; Aves; Passeriformes; Passerellidae
Source: RefSeq, a predicted model, not a curated record